Molecule: non-coding RNA, 76 nt
Organism: Hemicordylus capensis (graceful crag lizard)
Lineage: Eukaryota; Metazoa; Chordata; Lepidosauria; Squamata; Cordylidae
Source: the annotation of a RefSeq genome assembly
GCUAUAGCUCAGUGGUAGAGCAUUUGCUUAGCAUGCAAAAGGUCCCAGGUUCAAUCCCUGGACCCUGGUAUAUCUA